RNAcentral lists this ribosomal RNA (259 nucleotides) under Salmonella enterica. RNAcentral's name for it is "partial 16S ribosomal RNA". It matches the Rfam family "Bacterial small subunit ribosomal RNA", at positions 1 to 256 of the family's 1533-position model. RNAcentral also lists the same sequence under 4 other names. Lineage: Bacteria; Pseudomonadati; Pseudomonadota; Gammaproteobacteria; Enterobacterales; Enterobacteriaceae. The record is from RNAcentral.
AAAUUGAAGAGUUUGAUCAUGGCUCAGAUUGAACGCUGGCGGCAGGCCUAACACAUGCAAGUCGAACGGUAACAGGAAGCAGCUUGCUGCUUCGCUGACGAGUGGCGGACGGGUGAGUAAUGUCUGGGAAACUGCCUGAUGGAGGGGGAUAACUACUGGAAACGGUGGCUAAUACCGCAUAACGUCGCAAGACCAAAGAGGGGGACCUUCGGGCCUCUUGCCAUCAGAUGUGCCCAGAUGGGAUUAGCUAGUUGGUGAG